AACGAACGCUGGCGGCAUGCCUAACACAUGCAAGUCGAACGAGACCUUCGGGUCUAGUGGCGCACGGGUGCGUAACGCGUGGGAACCUGCCCUUAGGUUCGGAAUAACUCCCCGAAAGGGGUGCUAAUACCGGAUAAUGUCUUCGGACCAAAGAUUUAUCGCCUUUGGAUGGGCCCGCGUUGGAUUAGCUAGUUGGUAGGGUAAAAGCCUACCAAGGCGACGAUCCAUAGCUGGUCUGAGAGGAUGAUCAGCCACACUGGGACUGAGACACGGCCCAGACUCCUACGGGAAGCAGCAGUGGGGAAUAUUGGACAAUGGGCGAAAGCCUGAUCCAGCAAUGCCGCGUGAGUGAUGAAGGCCUUAGGGUUGUAAAGCUCUUUUACCCGGGAUGAUAAUGACAGUACCGGGAGAAUAAGCUCCGGCUGACUCCGUG
This 433-nucleotide ribosomal RNA is filed under the name uncultured bacterium. RNAcentral's name for it is "partial 16S ribosomal RNA". It matches the Rfam family "Bacterial small subunit ribosomal RNA", at positions 29 to 507 of the family's 1533-position model. The record is from RNAcentral.